This 1085-nucleotide long non-coding RNA is filed under the name Equus caballus (horse). RNAcentral describes it as "lncRNA (ENSECAG00000044337.1)". The record is from RNAcentral. Lineage: Eukaryota; Metazoa; Chordata; Mammalia; Perissodactyla; Equidae.
CAGUACGACGCAGCUUCUCCUUGUCAGAACAGGAUUAGGAGUGCGUUGAGAGAAAUCUAACUUCAGCGUCCCUCUGGGGAGCUCCUCAGCAGAGACUGUCUCUGCCCUGUGACAGUGGAAGAGUAUCCCCAGGGACAUGGGCCCCUUGGCCUCUCUGGGCAGCAGGGACCUUCAGGGGCUGCAGGAGGCCUGGUCUAUAGCUUUGACAGAUGAUCACGGGAGAAAAGCAAAGCGAGGGAUCCUCUGUUAUGAAACGCAGUCGUCGGGAGGCUGCGUCUGAGGACAGACAGCUCCAGCAUGCCGUGAAAUCAGCCUGAUCCUUGCAUUUGAAGCUAUGUUUAUUCUCUCUUGCUUGAGAUUUUUGUUGUUAUCUGAUUUGAUUACAAAAUGAAAAGCUGGAUGUUUAAGCAGUUUUCACAGAAACACUUAGCAAAGAUAUCGUGGGACUGGAAAAGGAAAGAGGAAGACUGACUUCAUGCAAGUCACUGAACCUCAUUGGGCCUCAGUUGCCCCAUCUGUAAAAUGGGGUAAGACAAUAACUGUCCAAAGUGAGGUCGACUUUCUUGUACUUCCUUCAAGCUCAGAAAUCCAUGAUAAAUUGGAGGCCUAUGAUUUUAUACCAAAGUAAUGUGCAAAUAAAUGCCAGCGUGCCCUAUGCUUCCUGCUGACUCGGGGGACAUGGUCAGGCCUGCCCUGACAUUUGCAGGGCCCAGAGCAAGUGGCCAGGGCAAGAUUACAAAUGGAAGCCCUGAUAGCAUAUGUUAUAAUAUUUAAAAGUUAUCAAUCAAGCUAAUAAACUGCGAAAUAAAAUAUGUUUUGCUCUCCUACCUUGACAAAUUGCCUUCAAAAUGACCUGGAAGGCCAGGUUGGACUUGCGAAUUCCUGAAGUCCUCAGAGUUCCACACCCCAACAUGGCAGGAGGAAGAGCCUGCCCCAGCCUCCCCCCUUUUCUUCCCACUCCUGGCUCCAUCUCAUGCUGCAAGGGGCCUUGCACUUAUGCUCAUGAGCAACCCAGCUCGCAUGUCCACACUCUGUGAACACACACGCACACACAUGCACGCACACACACCAAUGGACCCAGGGCU